GUUCAUAAGGCGGGUUAUCUGAGGUGGACCUUCACUGCUGAGAGGUCAUGUUGAAAGUUUCUUACCUUCCCACAGCAGCAGACUCUGAGGGGCAACGGAGGGCCAGAUCACAAGACUGUUAGCCUCGUAGAGCGGGUUGGUCAGACGUUCCAGUUCUUGGGGCCGAUUCACCCAUGACCAAAGGGACACAGUCUUCUCAGACCAACGCAAAACAAAAUCAACAAUCAGACUUCAGACUCACCUCUCAGCUGUACUGUUGCCCAAAAAUGUACCAAACUGAGAAGCAUAGGCGUGUUCAAAGACCAGCACCAGGAAGCCCUCGCUGAAUUCAAAGGAGCAUGGAAACUGGCGAAGGAUCUGCCACACACAGUCCAAGAAGAGCAGGAAGGAAGGAGCCUCUUGACGAGGCUUGCUGUUGGAGUAAGCUGACUGGGCGCAGCGCUGCUGGAACGGGUGACCUGCCUGGGACAGAUGGUCAAAGAUGUGAGAGGUGUCAUGAGGAGAAAUGUAAAGACCAUGUCCAUCAUUAUAUUGAAAUGCUUACUGGAACUGAUAACUGUACCUGCAUGGAAACAUUAUUAACAUCAGCUAAUAUGAGGUUAUAAAUGUUUUUGUAACCUAA
Long non-coding RNA from Perca flavescens (yellow perch), 622 nucleotides. RefSeq lists it as uncharacterized. The record is from RefSeq and is a predicted model, not a curated record. The transcript has 3 exons. NCBI's taxonomy places the organism in Eukaryota, Metazoa, Chordata, Actinopteri, Perciformes, Percidae.